Budorcas taxicolor (takin) is the source of this 107-nucleotide small nuclear RNA. The record is from RefSeq and is a predicted model, not a curated record. Lineage: Eukaryota; Metazoa; Chordata; Mammalia; Artiodactyla; Bovidae.
GUGCUCACUUUGGAAGCACAUAUACUUAAAUUGGAAUGAUACAAAGAAGAUUAGCAUGGCCCCUGCUCAAGGAUGACAUGCAAAUUGGUGAAGCAUUUCAUGUUUUU